GGGAUUGUGGCUCAGCGGUAGAGCACUCGCCUAGCAUGUGUGAGGCCCUGGGUUUGAUCCUCAGCACCA
Molecule: transfer RNA, 69 nt
Filed under: Ictidomys tridecemlineatus (thirteen-lined ground squirrel)
Lineage: Eukaryota; Metazoa; Chordata; Mammalia; Rodentia; Sciuridae
Also listed under: 1 other name
Description: Spermophilus tridecemlineatus (thirteen-lined ground squirrel) tRNA
Rfam family: tRNA
About the family: Transfer RNA (tRNA) molecules are approximately 80 nucleotides in length. Their secondary structure includes four short double-helical elements and three loops (D, anti-codon, and T loops).
Source: Rfam by way of RNAcentral